UACGGAGGGGGCUAGCGUUGUUCGGAAUUACUGGGCGUAAAGGGCUCGUAGGCGGUCUGUUGCGUCGGGAGUGAAAACUCAGGGCUUAACCCUGAGCCUGCUUCCGAUACGGGCAGACUAGAGGUAUGCAGGGGAGAACGGAAUUCCUGGUGUAGCGGUGAAAUGCGCAGAUAUCAGGAGGAACACCGGUGGCGAAGGCGGUUCUCUGGGCAUUACCUGACGCUGAGGAGCGAAAGUGUGGGGAGCGAACAGG
Molecule: ribosomal RNA, 253 nt
Filed under: uncultured bacterium
Lineage: Bacteria
Description: partial 16S ribosomal RNA
Rfam family: Bacterial small subunit ribosomal RNA
Source: RNAcentral